This 483-nucleotide ribosomal RNA is filed under the name uncultured bacterium. Its description in RNAcentral is "partial 16S ribosomal RNA". It matches the Rfam family "Bacterial small subunit ribosomal RNA", at positions 30 to 507 of the family's 1533-position model. The record is from RNAcentral.
UUGCACGCUGGCGGCAGGCCUAACACAUGCAAGUCGAGCGGAUGAAGGGAGCUUGCUCCUGGAUUCAGCGGCGGACGGGUGAGUAAUGCCUAGGAAUCUGCCUGGUAGUGGGGGAUAACGUCCGGAAACGGGCGCUAAUACCGCAUACGUCCUGAGGGAGAAAGUGGGGGAUCUUCGGACCUCACGCUAUCAGAUGAGCCUAGGUCGGAUUAGCUAGUUGGUGGGGUAAAGGCCUACCAAGGCGACGAUCCGUAACUGGUCUGAGAGGAUGAUCAGUCACACUGGAACUGAGACACGGUCCAGACUCCUACGGGAGGCAGCAGUGGGGAAUAUUGGACAAUGGGCGAAAGCCUGAUCCAGCCAUGCCGCGUGUGUGAAGAAGGUCUUCGGAUUGUAAAGCACUUUAAGUUGGGAGGAAGGGCGGUAAGUUAAUACCUUGCUGUUUUGACGUUACCAACAGAAUAAGCACCGGCUAACUUCGUG